Carassius auratus (goldfish) is the source of this 533-nucleotide long non-coding RNA. RefSeq lists it as uncharacterized. NCBI's taxonomy places the organism in Eukaryota, Metazoa, Chordata, Actinopteri, Cypriniformes, Cyprinidae. The record is from RefSeq and is a predicted model, not a curated record. The transcript has 3 exons.
UGAAAGAAGCAAGUCAUAUACACCUAGGAUGCCUCAAGGGACGUGUCCAGGACGGCAACCUCGUUCUUAAUUUAUGUGACCUUGUGAAGCCUUGGAAAGAACUCUCCCAAACUCAAAAGAUGUACCUCCGCAUGUAUCAUGACGGCUGUGUCUGUGAGAUCUCUCCCUGUACUGGAGCGUCCUGUUUGACCGAGAUGGUUCAGAAAAAAUGUCUGAUAAGAGCCAAAGAUUUAUUCACUUUUGAUGAUGACGAGGCUCUUCAGUCUAUUUGCCUGCCAGAGAGUGCUGGUGCCGAUGUCUGUAAAUGGCGAAUAAUUCUUAAUUAACUACAAAUGCUCCUAAAAAUUAUGCCCUGAAGAACAAGUGCACCAGCCAUUUGCAGUGUGUGUGUUUGCCCUUUUAUUCUCCAGAAUGCUUAGCAUUUUGAAAUAAAUUUAAACAAUUUAAUGAAGCUUUGCAAUGCAGUCAGGAAAUACAUACAAAACACUGUUUUCAUGGAUGCAAUCAACCAUUAAACUAUUUUGCAUGUAAAA